UACGUAGGGGGCUAGCGUUGUCCGGAUUUAUUGGGCGUAAAGAGCGUGUAGGCGGCCAGGUAGGUCUGCUGUGAAAACUCGAGGCUCAACCUCGAGACGUCGGCGGAAACCAUCUGGCUAGAGUCCGGAAGAGGAGAGUGGAAUUCCUGGUGUAGCGGUGAAAUGCGCAGAUAUCAGGAGGAACACCAAUGGCGAAGGCAGCUCGCUGGGACGGUACUGGCGCUGAGACGCGAAAGCGUGGGGAGCAAACAGG
Molecule: ribosomal RNA, 253 nt
Filed under: uncultured bacterium
Lineage: Bacteria
Description: partial 16S ribosomal RNA
Rfam family: Bacterial small subunit ribosomal RNA
Source: RNAcentral